AGUCGAGGGGUAUAGGUUUUCGGAUCUAGAGACCGGCGCACGGGUGCGUAACGCGUAUGCAAUCUACCUUUUGCAGAGGGAUAGCCCAGAGAAAUUUGGACUAAUACCUCAUAGUAUGCAGAGUUGGCAUCAACACUGCAUUAAAGUCACAACGGCAAAAGAUGAGCAUGCGUCCCAUUAGCUAGUUGGUAAGGUAACGGCUUACCAAGGCUACGAUGGGUAGGGGUCCUGAGAGGGAGAUCCCCCACACUGGUACUGAGACACGGACCAGACUCCUACGGGAGGCAGCAGUGAGGAAUAUUGGACGAUGGGCGCAAGCCUGAUCCAGCCAUGCCGCGUGCAGGAUGACGGUCCUAUGGAUUGUAAACUGCUUUUGCACAGGAAGAAACAACGCUACGUGUAGCGUCUUGACGGUACUGUGAGAAUAAGGAUCGGCUAACUCCGUGCCAGCAGCCGCGGUAAUACGGAGGAUCCAAGCGUUAUCCGGAAUCAUUGGGUUUAAAGGGUCCGUAGGCGGUUUAGUAAGUCAGUGGUGAAAGCCCAUCGCUCAACGGUGGAACGGCCAUUGAUACUGCUAGACUUGAAUUAUUAGGAAGUAACUAGAAUAUGUAGUGUAGCGGUGAAAUGCUUAGAGAUUACAUGGAAUACCAAUUGCGAAGGCAGGUUACUACUAAUGGAUUGA
Molecule: ribosomal RNA, 682 nt
Filed under: uncultured Bacteroidota bacterium
Lineage: Bacteria; Pseudomonadati; Bacteroidota
Description: bacterial SSU rRNA
Rfam family: Bacterial small subunit ribosomal RNA
Source: RNAcentral